Molecule: non-coding RNA, 5175 nt
Organism: Lolium perenne
Lineage: Eukaryota; Viridiplantae; Streptophyta; Magnoliopsida; Poales; Poaceae
Source: RefSeq, a predicted model, not a curated record
UUUCUGCUUUUUUUUUUGUAUGUUGCCUGCUGCUGUAUCUUUGCUCACCACCAGAUGUUGCGGUAUGCUUAGCUGUGAAUUUUCUCUGUUAGAGCAUCUCCACUCGUGACCUUCAUAUGACGUCCAGCGCCUGACCGUAUGGAGGGUGCUGGCGGGUAACCCUAAAUAGGGGGCAUCGGUUCCCAGCCGCAUCCCUCAAAUUCAAAAGUUAAAAACAUACGCCGAUUUGAUUUCGUGCCCAUAAAAGGAUCAUUGUCUCACAUAUCGUCGCAAAUGACAAGUCUAAAUGAACACAUCGUCGCAAAUCGCGGUAUAGAAAUGUCCAGUGAACCAAAAAAAAGGGGGCAUGCGGGCCGGUCGGCAUCGCGGGAAUCAAGCAAUUUCCUCAACAAGGGAAUCAGGGACGAUGGUGGGUGUCGUCAGCGUAGCGAUCGGCGAUGGCGGCGAGGCAGUCGACGGGGAAGCAUCAGUUGCCGGUGGAGUAGUAUCCGUCGCUGGAGUCGCGGUGCUGGGCUGGGGCGCGGGUGGAGCUCGACUCUCGGCUAGGAUCGUGGCGCGCUGCGCGGCGCACCACGCCUUGACGUCGUCUUCCAUGCCGCUGGUGUCGACGAUCAGGAUCGCCAGGUCCUCCUUCCUUUUCUUGGCGACGAUGUUGGCCUUGAUCAGGUCGAGCUUGAUGUCCUGUCUCUCCAAGACCGACGCCCACCUUGUCGAUGCUCAAUGUCUUCCAUGCCUCGGCGAGGCACUCGUCCUCCCUCGAGCUCCACUUUGGCCCGCGCCCACUGGUCUUCUUCCUCGGGUUUGCCGCGGUAGAGCCCGACGUGGUGACGGCCUUCUUUUUCUUGCCUUUGGGGUCGACAACGGACGGCGCGAUCUCUUCGGGAGCCUCGGCGUAGGUGUACACGUCGUUCUCCCACCCAACAUCGUCGCCUUCUUACUCAUCAUCGGCGUACGCCUCGGCUUCCUGCGGAAUGAAGGACGGCGGCCCGUUGGUGCCAUCGAUGAUCAUGUCCUCUAUGAUGGCGUCGCCGGGCAUCACGCCGAAUGGCGCUUGCGCGCAACUGCUCGCGGCGAACUGCUGGUAGCCGGGGUGAGGGCCACGACGAGGAGGAGGCCCUCCUCGGCUGUAGAGAGUGCGCCCGAGCUCAGGUCAUCCGGCCAGCAUGUGCAGGUCGCCGGCGGCGAAAGUGUUUGGGGCGGCGAAGGUGUUGGGGUUAAACCCACCGAGCGGGUCAAAAUCGUGGCAGCUCGGCGAGAAGCGUGACAUGUGGGGUGGGUUACUUUGGGCUUCAUGGAACAAAGGCAGCGGCGACAUGGUGGACGGUGAUGGCGAGGAGACGCUGCCCUGGCUGCCGCUCCACGCGGCGGUGACGAACGGAUGCGUCGGGGUGUGGGGUGCCGCCAUGGCAGCGGCCCGUUCCAUCAGCUUCGCCUCCUUCUUCGCUGCUGCCGCAACCCUCUUCGCCUUCAGCUUCGUCUCCUCGAGCGGCGGCUGAGGUUCUCCAUUGUACGCCGCUGGAUGUCGAACGCCCACUCGGCGUUGGUCAUCCCCGUGGCCGCUCCUUGACGACGGGUGCCCGCACUUCGCGGGAGCAGGCUUGGCGGUGAGGACAUCCGGCGCUAACGUGCGUGGAGCGACGUACUGCCUCGUCUUCAUGGCUGGACGGCGGAGCAAGGGGAUGGCUAGCGCGGUUGCGCUGGUGAAAUAGCGGGAAUUGGCCGAGGGAGAAGGGGAACGGGGUGGUAUGGCUCCAAGAAUGGUGGGAAAGCUAAUGAUUUUGGCUUUUAGCGCCAUCCGGCGCCCCUGAUAACCUCCCGCUGGAUUGGGUUCGGCCUGGGGGCGCCGGAUGAAAAUACGCACCACCUCGGCGCGAAAACAAUUUUGGAGCAUGCUGCGUCGGCGCCCCUAUUUUCGUUUUGGGGUGGGCUAUAAGGAGGGCAAGUGGAGAUGCUCUUAGUAUUUUUUUUUUGUCUGCUGCUUGUGUAUGCUUAUUGCUGAUGGUAAGCCGCUGUUUUAGUGCUAUGAUCAGACGCUUCAACUUUCAUCUGUAACUUUGUCUCCUUUUUUGAAGACUAGUUAUCCACAUGAAUCAUGUCUGUAUUUGGAUGUAGUUUUUCAGCUUUAACAUACACCGGCUGAUGAAAACAGCCUGUGUGUUUUGCUUUGGUUUGUUUUUCUUAAGUUUUCCCUGAGCAUCAAUUGUGUGGAAGUGCAUAGUUUUGUUAAGAAUGUGUCAAUUAGGAAGUCAAUUUUAACUGUAACUUCCACAGUUUUGAUGCAAGUACUUGCAGUUUUGGAAGUGAACUGUACCAGCCUACCACGGGAUAGAAAAACGGUAGAAAUUUUGAGACAAUUUUGCAUGUACAUCUACAAUCUGCUAUAAUUUUGCUUAGGUGGUUGGGAAAGUAACCUGGUGUGCUAUUUGAAUCCCCUUUGCGGGACUCGAUCACUUUCUUUAAAUAGAAGGUUCGGUAAUUGUCGGGUGAGCAGGCCGUAUUACUUCCUAACUAGCUACUAGGCACAAAGUAGCCACACCCAUUUGUAAAUAUAAGAUUGUUGUGUCAUUUUUUGGACUUGUGCAUCGGAAUAAUUUUUCACUCAUGGCUGGAGUUUCCCUCUUCAUGUUUCUUCCUGAUAUAUAUACUAAUUGUGUGAACUUUCAUGUUUAAGGGUCGGAGAAUCAUGGAAGGACAUGAGGGGCAUGAACUCAGGCGAAAGGCGAUUUCUAACCUGAAAAAAGAUCCACUCCGUUCUUACCUACGAUCUUGCAUUUUCGGGAAAAGCUGGUACGGACUAUUACAUUACAAACAAACACAGAUAUAAAACCAUUGAUGGGUACGUGGAGGAUAUUGUACAUAUUUUUCAAUAUUAUCAUAUCCAUCGAUGUGUUUAUAUCGGACAUUCUAUUUCUGGUAUGAUUGGCAUUAUAGGUUCGAGUCGCCAUAGUGAUCUUUAUUACCAACUCAGUCUUAUCCGUACUGCCCCUUGGUAAGUAAUAAAUAUUCAUCUUUCCCAACAGUAUAAAUAUCAUGUAAUCAUAAAUAUUGUGUACUUAUCCUAUUUUUUUAUACAAUUCACAUAUGAAGUUAGACCUAAAUACAAGAUAGCAUAUUGAAGGAAAAAGGAAAAAACAGACCUUGAACUCAUGAAAGUAGAUUUUAAAGCGUUUGUGGAAGGGUAUAUCAAGAUUGUGGUGAACUUCUAUUCGGUUUUCGGAAGCGCAAUCUCGAUAUACCCUUCCACAAACGUUUUGAAAUCUACUUUCAUGAGUUCAAUGCUCUGUUUUUUUCCUUUUUCUUUGAAUAUGCUAUCUUGUAUUUAGGUCUAUCUACAUAGCUCCAUUGUAUAAAAGAAUAGGAUAGGUGCACAAUAUCUAUAAUUGCAUGAUAUUUAUACUGUUGGGAAAGAUGUAUAUUUGUUACUUAACAAGGGCAGUGCCGAUAAGAAUGAGUUGGUAAAAAAGAUCACUGUGGCGACUGGAACCUACAAUGUCAAUCAUACCAGAAACAGAAUGUCCGACAUAAACACAUCGAUGGAUAUGAUAAUACUGAAAAAAUAUGUACAAUAUCCUCCACGUACACAUCAAUGGUUUCAUAUCUGUGUUUGUUGGUAAUGUAAUAGUAUGUACCAACUUUGCCCGAAAAGGCAAGAUCAUAGGUAAGAACGGCACUAAAGUUGAAAUGUGGAUCUUUUUUCAGGUUAGAAAUCGUCUUUCGCCACACAGUUUGGUCACAACCAAAUCAGUAGGAGAGCACUAAAACCGGUAAGCCCCCCUCCACCCCAUGUAAUUCACAUUCAUUAUGUGUUCAUGGCCCUCAUGUCCUUGCAUGAUUCUCCGGCCCUUAAACAUGAAAGUUCACACAAUUAAUACAUACAUCAGGGAGAAACAUGCAGAGGGAGACUCUAGCCAUGACGAAGACAAUGAAAAAUUAUCCAAAUGCAUAAGUUCAAAAGAUGACACAACAAUCUUAUAUUUACAAAUGGGUGUGGCUCCUUUGUGCCUAGUAGCUAGCUAGGAAGUAAUACGACCUGCUCACCCGACAAUUACCGAACCUUCAAUUUAAGGAAAGUGAUCGAGUCCCGCAAAGGGGAUUCAAAUAGCACACCAGGUUACUUCACUACAGGAAUGGCCUGACUUUGCUGCGUGCUGCCGGCCACCUCCUCGGCUCCUCCUUCCAUCCGCCGCCGUUGCCGGAGAUGGAGGCGUCGGCGUACAAGUUCGGACCCUACACGAUCGAUGCGAAGGAGGUCUUCCACGCCACGGCCCUCUCCUACGCCAUGGUCAACCUCCGCCCUGUCCUCCCUGGUCAUAUCCUUUAUUUCGACAAAGUCAUCACUGAGAUUUACAAUUAAAUGCUAAUUACAUUCCUUGAUUGACUGUACAUAAACUUUGGCUCUCGCUUAUUUUAAAGGGUGUCCAUGGUCCAUGGUCCAAAGUCCAAACACAUACAGUAGAAACCAAAGAUCUGACUCAAAAAAUGAAAAUUAUAUGGUCUAUACCCCUCUUUCAGUUUCCACAGAUCUGUAAAUUGCAUGGCUAGUGGAAAUAUGAAUAUCAAGCAUGUCAAGAGAAUUAUCCUAGAGUUAUAUAUCCAUAAAAGUGAAUGGUUCAUUUAAAAUAUGGUUAAUCAUCUCUUGUUGGAACCGUUUUAUUGCUUUUUUUGCGGGUUCAAGAGCUUUAUUGAUUACUCGACAGGAUUACAAUCACUCCGAAGAGUAUUAGCGAGAAAACCUAGGUUAUAGUUAAUCCACAGGCAUCUCCUCCUAUUUGAACUAGCUUGUUUAGCACAAAGAUGAGCUGCGUUAUUAGCAUCAUGCCCAACAAAACUAAUGCUUAAGCUAGGUAAAGCUCGUCUAAUCUCAGCUACUUCCUGGCAAAUCGCCAUGAUCUCCGAUCUAUUCUGCAAGUCAUCAUUGCAAAUAUUGAUCACUUCCUUUGCAUCGCUCUGUAAAAUGGCAUGUGUAAAACCUCUCUCUGCCGCUAGGGUAGCCCCAUCUCUGAUUGCAAGUGCCUCCAUAAGCCGUUUUAUUGCUGGUAGGCUGAUUACAUCGCAGUUUGAAAUAUUGUCUUUACUUUUGUGUUUCAUCACUUUAUGCACCGACUAGUUCACCCGAAAGAUUUGCUUCUCAAUGAAAGGUGGGAAAUGUAUAAUACAACAAUUACAAUUAGAUAC